This 253-nucleotide ribosomal RNA is filed under the name uncultured bacterium. RNAcentral describes it as "partial 16S ribosomal RNA". It matches the Rfam family "Bacterial small subunit ribosomal RNA", at positions 524 to 776 of the family's 1533-position model. The record is from RNAcentral.
UACGUAGGGUGCAAGCGUUGUCCGGAAUUAUUGGGCGUAAAGAGCUUGUAGGCGGUUUGUCGCGUCUGCUGUGAAAUUUCGGGGCUCAACCCCGAACUUGCAGUGGGUACGGGCAGACUAGAGUGCGGUAGGGGAGAUCGGAAUUCCUGGUGUAGCGGUGAAAUGCGCAGAUAUCAGGAGGAACACCGGUGGCGAAGGCGGAUCUCUGGGCCGUAACUGACGCUGAGGAGCGAAAGCAUGGGGAGCGAACAGG